GGAUUAGAUACCCUGGUAGUCCACGCCGUAAACGAUGAGUACUAGUUAUUAGAGGUUUGACCCCUUUAGUGAAGUAGCUAACGCAUUAAGUACUCCGCCUGGGAAUUACGGUCGCAAGACUAAAACUCAAAGGAAUUGACGGGGGCCCGCACAAGCGGUGGAUUAUGUGGUUUAAUUCGAAGCAACGCGCAGAACCUUACCUAGGCUUGAAAUCUUCGGAAUCCGGCGUAAUUGCUGGAGUGCCCGCAAGGGAAUCGAAUGACAGGUGCUGCAUGGCUGUCGUCAGCUCGUGCCG
Molecule: ribosomal RNA, 295 nt
Filed under: uncultured bacterium
Lineage: Bacteria
Description: partial 16S ribosomal RNA
Rfam family: Bacterial small subunit ribosomal RNA
Source: RNAcentral